This 254-nucleotide ribosomal RNA is filed under the name uncultured bacterium. RNAcentral describes it as "partial small subunit ribosomal RNA". It matches the Rfam family "Bacterial small subunit ribosomal RNA", at positions 27 to 285 of the family's 1533-position model. The record is from RNAcentral.
GGGACGAACGCUGGCGGCGUGCUUAACACAUGCAAGUCGAGCGGAAAGGCCCUUCGGGGUACUCGAGCGGCGAACGGGUGAGUAACACGUGAGUAAUCUGCCCCUAGCUCUGGGAUAGCUCCGGGAAACCGGGAUUAAUACCAGAUACGACCACUUUAGACAUCUGUUGUGGUGGAAAGAAUUUUGGCUAGGGAUGAGCUCGCGGCCUAUCAGCUUGUUGGUGAGGUAACGGCUCACCAAGGCGACGACGGGUA